UUAUAUGAUUAACAAAAAAUCAGACAAUGCCGUGUUCAGUCCCAACUAAUCAGAAUCGGAACGAGUUCAGUCAACUACUCGAGAGCCAUUACAACCCCAAGUCUAUUAAAAAACCAACAGAAAUGAUCCUUCCGCAGGUUCACCUACGGAAA
This 152-nucleotide unclassified non-coding RNA is filed under the name uncultured fungus. RNAcentral's name for it is "sequence contains ITS1". The record is from RNAcentral. Lineage: Eukaryota; Fungi.